GAUGAACGCUAGCUACAGGCUUAACACAUGCAAGUCGAGGGGCAGCGGGGAGGAUGCUUGCAUUCUCUGCCGGCGACCGGCGCACGGGUGAGUAACGCGUAUCCAACCUACCUCUAACUAAGGAAUAGCCCGUUGAAAGACGGAUUAAUGCCUUAUGUUCUCUUUUGCAGGCAUCUAAUGAAGAGUAAAGACUUGUUGGUUAGGGAUGGGGAUGCGUCCGAUUAGCUUGACGGUGAGGUAACGGCUCACCGUGGCGACGAUCGGUAGGGGUUCUGAGAGGAAGGUCCCCCACAUUGGAACUGAGACACGGUCCAAACUCCUACGGGAGGCAGCAGUGAGGAAUAUUGGUCAAUGGGCGAGAGCCUGAACCAGCCAAGUAGCGUGCAGGAUGACGGCCCUAUGGGUUGUAAACUGCUUUUAUAAGGGAAUAAAGUGAGAGUCGUGACUCUUUUUGCAUGUACCUUAUGAAUAAGGACCGGCUAAUUCCGUG
RNAcentral lists this ribosomal RNA (490 nucleotides) under uncultured bacterium. RNAcentral's name for it is "bacterial SSU rRNA". It matches the Rfam family "Bacterial small subunit ribosomal RNA", at positions 28 to 507 of the family's 1533-position model. The record is from RNAcentral.